RNAcentral lists this ribosomal RNA (560 nucleotides) under Klebsiella aerogenes. Its description in RNAcentral is "partial 23S ribosomal RNA". It matches the Rfam family "Bacterial large subunit ribosomal RNA", at positions 2238 to 2797 of the family's 2925-position model. Lineage: Bacteria; Pseudomonadati; Pseudomonadota; Gammaproteobacteria; Enterobacterales; Enterobacteriaceae. The record is from RNAcentral.
AUCGGGGUUGCGGACAGUGUCUGGUGGGUAGUUUGACUGGGGCGGUCUCCUCCCAAAGAGUAACGGAGGAGCACGAAGGUUAGCUAAUCCUGGUCGGACAUCAGGAGGUUAGUGCAAUGGCAUAAGCUAGCUUGACUGCGAGCGUGACGGCGCGAGCAGGUGCGAAAGCAGGUCAUAGUGAUCCGGUGGUUCUGAAUGGAAGGGCCAUCGCUCAACGGAUAAAAGGUACUCCGGGGAUAACAGGCUGAUACCGCCCAAGAGUUCAUAUCGACGGCGGUGUUUGGCACCUCGAUGUCGGCUCAUCACAUCCUGGGGCUGAAGUAGGUCCCAAGGGUAUGGCUGUUCGCCAUUUAAAGUGGUACGCGAGCUGGGUUUAGAACGUCGUGAGACAGUUCGGUCCCUAUCUGCCGUGGGCGCUGGAGAAUUGAGGGGGGCUGCUCCUAGUACGAGAGGACCGGAGUGGACGCAUCACUGGUGUUCGGGUUGUCAUGCCAAUGGCAUUGCCCGGUAGCUAAAUGCGGAAGAGAUAAGUGCUGAAAGCAUCUAAGCACGAAACUUGC